Molecule: non-coding RNA, 207 nt
Filed under: Enterococcus faecium
Lineage: Bacteria; Bacillati; Bacillota; Bacilli; Lactobacillales; Enterococcaceae
Description: T-box sequence
Rfam family: T-box leader
About the family: Uncharged tRNA acts as the effector for transcription antitermination of genes in the T-box leader family. T-boxes are found upstream of many aminoacyl-tRNA synthetase genes and some amino acid biosynthetic genes usually in Gram-positive bacteria.
Source: RNAcentral
GACAACACUUGAAAAGGAAGUAGUAAAAAGACUGAAGUUUCAGAGAGCGCAUGGCUGGUGAGAAUGUGCACGGAUGCUUUUGAACUCGCCUUUGAGUUGCCCUUGCUGAAUACCCGAGUAAGCAAGCGGCGGUGACGGCCGUUACAACGUUCGAGGCCUUUUCACUAAGGUAAAAUUAGGUGGUACCGCGUAGAUUACGUCCUAUAA